This 300-nucleotide unclassified non-coding RNA is filed under the name uncultured Ramariopsis. RNAcentral describes it as "sequence contains 5.8S rRNA gene, ITS2". The stretch from base 1 to 71 matches the Rfam family "5.8S ribosomal RNA", at positions 84 to 154 of the family's 154-position model. Lineage: Eukaryota; Fungi; Basidiomycota; Agaricomycetes; Agaricales; Clavariaceae. The record is from RNAcentral.
GUGAAUCAUCGAAUCUUUGAACGCACCUUGCACCCUUUGGUAUUCCGAAGGGUAUGCCUGUUUGAGUGUCAUUAAAUUCUCAACUUUAAAGAUUUUGUUAUCUUUGAAGCUUGGACUAUGGAGGUUAUUUGCAGGCGAUUAACAUUGUCAGCUCCUCUUAAAUACAUUAGCGGAACUCUUAAGUACCAGCUUUGGUUUGAUAAGUAUAUCUAUGCCGUCGCUGUGAACUGUCAUGUUCAGCUUCUAAUGGUCUUCGGACUGUCUCUUAUGAGGCAUACACUUUAAGCUUGACCUCAAAUC